AUUGAACGCUGGCGGCAUGCCUUACACAUGCAAGUCGAACGGUAACGCGGGGUCAACCUGGCGACGAGUGGCGAACGGGUGAGUAAAGUAUCGGAACGUGCCCAGUAGUGGGGGGAUAAGCCCCGGGCGGAAAAGCCGGAUUAAUACCCGACAGUGAGACCUGAGGGUGAAAGCGGGGGAUCGCAAGACCUCGCGCUAUUGGAGCGGCCGAUAUCAGAUUAGGUAGUUGGUGGGGUAAAGGCCUACCAAGCCGACGAUCUGUAGCUGGUCUGAGAGGACGACCAGCCACACUGGGACUGAGACACGGCCCAGACUCCUACGGGAGGCAGCAGUGGGGAAUUUUGG
Molecule: ribosomal RNA, 345 nt
Filed under: uncultured bacterium
Lineage: Bacteria
Description: bacterial SSU rRNA
Rfam family: Bacterial small subunit ribosomal RNA
Source: RNAcentral